Long non-coding RNA from Gallus gallus (chicken), 2846 nucleotides. The record is from Ensembl. NCBI's taxonomy places the organism in Eukaryota, Metazoa, Chordata, Aves, Galliformes, Phasianidae.
GUAUUUAGCUCUACUCAGGAGUACGCAGAGAUUUCUAGGGUUUUUUUGAAUCCUCGUUCAACAUUUUUAUUAUUCAAAACAAUUCUGACUUCUUUUGCUUUUUUUUGGACCUAGAAAUGAUUCAGAGAUGCCACUGAUUUUCUUCAAUGGAAAUGAUUUUCAAUCAAAAUGGAAGAGAUUUCCCAGAAAAUGCAGUGUCGGAAGUGAUUUAAAAAGCAGAAGUUAAAUUUGCUCCUGGGUCAGCUUCAGGUUUUAUAUAUGAUGAAGGAACUUUGAAAUUAAAGUGAUUGCAAAUAUGCUUUAGAGGCAAAAGUAGAAGCAAAAGAGAAAGGACAGAAAACUGUAAAAGAUAAAAUUAGACAACAUGAUGAAAAAACACCCUAACAACAGGGCAAGAUCUGAAACCAGAUACUGACUUCAGAGUCCUGCAGGCAAUUCCACUUUUUCACUUCUUUUUCACUUCUAAUGUUUAUGAUGUCUGCAAGGAUUCAAAUUUAAGCAAAAUAUCCUUCCCUCAUCAGAAAUUAGCUUUUAAAUUCUUCUUUUCUGCAUGCUAAAAGCUUCCUGCAAAGUUGACACUGAUAUGUUUUACUGCUAUCAACUGAAUAUAUUCUCUUUCACUUAUGUCCCAAACUUCUCUCACAUUCUAAGUUUUCUUUCUUUUUUUUUUGAUUAGACAUUGAGUAGUAAGAUAAUAUUUUGUUUACGUUAAUAAACUAAGGUUAGAAAGAAAGACUAGAAUACCCAUUCUGUCUCUGAGCUUAUCAGGUGAAUUCCAGAGGCUUUCUCAGAUCCCCUUUUGCUCCUUAUAACUAUAACCUCAUAAUAUUUCAGUGACUUAAAAUCUGUAGUAAGAAAAAAAUGAACAGAGCUCUCUAGGGCUAAGGUUUGUGUUGAGCAGUGAUGGAAAUCCAAGGGAAGUUCAUGAAGCAUAGACUUUCCCGUUUGAAAACAAGCCAGGGAAAGAGAAUCAAGAGCACUUCUGAAUUCAAUUCUCUCACCUGAGUGAACAGACAGCUGCUGCCAUACCAUGCUGAACUGGCAAGAGCUUCCUUAAUUACUCAGCCCUUCCAGAAGGCAACACUUCAGUGGUGAUGAAGAGGCACAUUUUCUAAAGCUCCAGUGGGAAUUGUUUUCAGCUCCUCAGAAGAUUUACAGGAAGUGAUUUGCCAACACUGGACUAUAUAUAAGAAACAUUUUUCUGCCUGAAUGCAUGUUGAACCAUUAAGAAGUCAACUUUCUCCAAAUUCAUCUCACUGUUACUACAAAUAUCUCCUUUCACAAGUGUAUGCAGUACAUCAAAUAAUGUAUACUUUUAGUCCACUUGCAGAUUUCUGUUUGACAAUUUUUAAUCCUACAAACAGUAGGUUGAUUUUCCUUGGUUAUCUUUCAUAGAAUUGGCCUGAAGAUUCUUAAGUUCCCGUAGGUCACAAACUGGAUAAAAUACAAAAUAAAUCAGAAAACCUUCUCCAUUCCUUACAAUAUGCAGUUUAAAAGGAUGACUUUAUGCAUAUUUUGACAGUUUUGUGUGCACAAAUAAGUCAGUCUUCGAUACAAUUAAGAAAACUUCUUAAUUUUACUGUUAAUGUGAAGUAUAAUAAAACACCAUCCCUUCUCAUUUCACUCAGGAGGCAUCUACAACAAAAUCUCAGUGUCUGUUUAUGUCUGCUAGAGGGCAUUUUUUUCAAAUGUUCUCAGUGCUCCGCCGUUUUGUAUUUAGGGAUGAUAACUACUUUUUGCAUGUAUAUAUAUAUAUAUAUAUAUAUAUAUAUUUAAUGAGAUGGCGAUAAAACAUCUUAUAAAUAUUAGUCAAAAGAAAAAAAAAGUCUGAGUAAGGAGACUGACUGAUUUUCCUCAUUUUUCAGGAUUUCUGUGUGCGAGAGGAAGUUCUGAAAUACAUAAUUCUCCUAGAUAUCAAAGACAUACUUUCUUAUCUAUAGUGCUAUGCCCUAGUAUAUGCUAAUUUGCUUAAUGAGCACACCAUUAUUUUUAUCUUACUAAGCCACUGAAAAAAAAGAAAACUGUUUACCCUUUUAGAAAUAUAUAUUUUUAAUUUUUUUUUGUAAACCAAGAAUUUCUUCUAACUCACUUUUAGUAAAACAUUUAGGAAAAUUCAUAUGGUUCCUUAAAUCAGUGAAUGAUGUUUUUGCUAAACUUUUGUUUAUUUGUAUAACUGAUUUCCAUUCAUUCCUUAGAUACCAGACAUUCAAAAUUCUCAGUCAUUUUAUCAAGUAAAUUUUCUAUCAAAUUUGACAACCUGUUUCAUUCCUUUGCACAUUUGAACUGUUAGAUGAAGUCAGUUAUUAAAGAAAAACUCUAAUGUAGGCAAAAUUUGUAUAAGCAAGAAUUAAAAUAUUUUACCAGUACUUCUUAAUAACAUAUUUAACCAAGAGGAAAAGAAGAUGACUAAUUCAGCCUGCAUGGCUUGUAUUUGUCAAGUUCAGCAGUGUUUCACAGUUUUACUUCAAUUUCUUCUUUCAGUUGCAUAGAUACUGCUCAGUAGAUAAGAAUGUGGUCAUGGUGAAAUCACACCUAUUCUCAUCUUUUCUUUUGCUCUCCAACGUGGAGAGGUUACUCGAGUCUUUUUUUUCCAUCGACUGAAGACUAUAAAUCCCAGUCACUUGCGUGCUCCAAAAAUUAAUCCCACUCUUCAUUUAUUUUCAUUCCUUCUCUUUAUACAUUCUCUUCAUGGUCUUGAUUUACGUUAUGUUCAGUUUUUAUGCUGCAGCAACACCAAUAAAUCAAUGCUUCAUUUCUAUUCAGAUUUUCCUCUUUGUUCUCACAAGAAGGAUAAGAUAUUGUAACUGCUCAUCACCUAACUAAAUAUCUUAGAAUAAAAAUGUUUG